Molecule: long non-coding RNA, 378 nt
Filed under: Canis lupus familiaris (dog)
Lineage: Eukaryota; Metazoa; Chordata; Mammalia; Carnivora; Canidae
Description: lncRNA (ENSCAFG00805006779.1, ENSCAFG00845019994.1)
Source: RNAcentral
CAGUGCUAUUGAAAUCAUCUUGUCUAUUUAUUAGUUUCCAUAUUUAUUGUCUGUCACGCCCACCAGAAUAUAGGUCUCAUGGGGACUAGGAGCCUUGAUUUCUGCCAAUGAGGUUGUUUUUGAGAGUUUUCUCCAAUCAACCUCCUGCGAGGAAGCUUUGUCUCAAGAUCUGCUUUCUGGUGAAGCUGACCCGAGACAUCUCUGACUAUAUGCCCACAACUGCUGUGACAAAACACAGAUACUUGACUGAAGCUCAGUUAUCAGUACUGAGCAGAGAACUGAAAAUAAAUGCCUACUGAUAAGAAGUCAGUGCCAUCAUUCCAAAUGCAUUAGCUGGUCUUCAGAUUAUAAUUUCAAUGUUUGUAAAUAAAUACUUGG